GAUGAAGAACGUAGCGAAAUGCGAUAAGUAAUGUGAAUUGCAGAAUUCAGUGAAUCAUCGAAUCUUUGAACGCACAUUGCGCCCGCCAGUAUUCUGGCGGGCAUGCCUGUUCGAGCGUCAUUACAACCCUCAGGCCCCCGGGCCUGGCGUUGGGGAUCGGCGGAAGCCCCCUGCGGGCACAACGCCGUCCCCCAAAUACAGUGGCGGUCCCGCCGCAGCUUCCAUUGCGUAGUAGCUAACACCUCGCAACUGGAGAGCGGCGCGGCCACGCCGUAAAACACCCAACUUCUGAAUGUUGACCUCGAAUCAGGUAGGAAUACCAGCUGAACUUAAGCAUAUCAAUAAGCGGAGGA
Molecule: unclassified non-coding RNA, 353 nt
Filed under: soil metagenome
Description: partial contains 5.8S ribosomal RNA, internal transcribed spacer 2, and large subunit ribosomal RNA
Rfam family: 5.8S ribosomal RNA (bases 1-120)
Source: RNAcentral